AAGGUGCUUGCACCAGAUUGACUCAUUUGAAUCACUUAGUGGCGGACGGGUGAGUAACGCGUGGGAAACCUGCCCUAUACUGGGGGAUAGCAGUUGGAAACGACUGAUAAUACCGCAUAAGCGCACAGCUUCGCAUGAAGCAGUGUGAAAAACUCCGGUGGUAUAGGAUGGUCCCGCGUCUGAUUAGCUAGUUGGUGAGGUAACGGCCCACCAAGGCGACGAUCAGUAGCCGGCCUGAGAGGGUGUACGGCCACAUUGGGACUGAGACACGGCCCAAACUCCUACGGGAGGCAGCAGUGGGGAAUAUUGGACAAUGGGGGCAACCCUGAUCCAGCGACGCCGCGUGAGCGAAGAAGUAUCUCGGUAUGUAAAGCUCUAUCAGCAGGGAAGAUAAUGACGGUACCUGACUAAGAAGCACCGGCUAAAUACGUGCCAGCAGCCGCGGUAAUACGUAUGGUGCAAGCGUUAUCCGGAUUUACUGGGUGUAAAGGGUGCGUAGGUGGAAUGGUAAGUCAGAUGUGAAAACUAUGGGCUCAACCCAUAGACUGCAUUUGAAGCUGCCGAUCUAGAGUGCAGGAGAGGAAAGUGGAAUUCCUAGUGUAGCGGUGAAAUGCGUAGAUAUUAGGAGGAACACCAGUGGCGAAGGCGGCUUUCUGGACUGUUACUGAC
This 669-nucleotide ribosomal RNA is filed under the name uncultured rumen bacterium. RNAcentral's name for it is "bacterial SSU rRNA". It matches the Rfam family "Bacterial small subunit ribosomal RNA", at positions 59 to 744 of the family's 1533-position model. The record is from RNAcentral.